Molecule: ribosomal RNA, 486 nt
Filed under: uncultured Desulfobulbaceae bacterium
Lineage: Bacteria; Pseudomonadati; Thermodesulfobacteriota; Desulfobulbia; Desulfobulbales; Desulfobulbaceae
Description: bacterial SSU rRNA
Rfam family: Bacterial small subunit ribosomal RNA
Source: RNAcentral
UACAAAGGUAAGUUGACGGGGCCCGCACAAGCGGUGAGUAUGUGGUUUAAUUCGACGCAACGCGAAGAACCUUACCUGGUCUUGACAUCCCGGGAAUCUUUAGGAAACUAGAGAGUGCCUCGCAAGAGGAGCCCGGUGACAGGUGCUGCAUGGCUGCCGUCAGCUCGUGUCGUGAGAUGUUGGGUUAAGUCCCGCAACGAGCGCAACCCUCGCCUUUAGUUGCCAGCAUUUAGUUUGGGCACUCUAAAGGGACUGCCGGUGUUAAACCGGAGGAAGGUGGGGAUGACGUCAAGUCCUCAUGGCCUUUAUGCCUAGGGCUACACACGUGCUACAAUGGGCGGUACAAAGGGUUGCAAUCCCGCGAGGGGGAGCCAAUCCCAAAAAGCCGUUCUCAGUUCGGAUUGGAGUCUGCAACUCGACUCCAUGAAGUUGGAAUCGCUAGUAAUCGUGGAUCAGCAUGCCACGGUGAAUACGUUCCCGGGCCUU